UAGAAAUGAUAGAGAGAGAAAUGGAUUGAAGUAUAAGUGAAAAGGUUGGUUUUGCAGAGGUUGGUCUGCUAGGGACUCAAUGACAGGAGAUUCUAGAGUCUGGAGAAAAGAUCUGAAGGGGCACUGACCAACUGAAAUGGGCUUCCUGUUUCUUGGAGCUGAGAGAAGAGGUAACAGAGUUCUGCUGAUCCUAGAGAUACUAAAUCUAACAGUGACAUUGAAGGGAAACCUUUGGACUUUCUUGGGAGUACCUUUCCCCACAAAAAAAAGAAGAGAGACAUCUAAGAAGAUCUUGUAUAAUAUCAAACCUGGUGAUUCACACUCUAGUGUGAAUUGGACUUAAGUAAAUCAGAGUUGCAUAAAGUCAUCAGCCUCACUCGCUCUUCCAGAGUCAUCCAAAUCCAAUGGCAAGAUACAAGUCAGGAUGCCUGGCAAUGACCCAGGAUGAAGUGUAUGAUCUUGCUGUCUUCAAGCUUUAAGUGCUCUCCAUCACCUGCUUUAGCUGCCUUCAUUGCUAUUGUAACAAAUUGUUCUCAUUUCCCAUCUCACCUGAAGAAGUCUUCAUGUGCUUGAGACUAAUCAUGCAACUGACUCCCAUGGAAAUUGUGGAUAAGGAAUCCAUUAAUGAAAAUGGCACUGCUUGCUUCUUUCUUGUUGACCUGAUAGCCUUGGGGCUAUCAAAAGAGCAGAUAACUAAUAGGAAAACUGCACAUUUUUACAGUCUCCCAAAUGCUCAGUGUAGUGCCUUGCACACAGGGUUCAGUGCUCUUCCUAGUGGUUUACAUGACUAUUUCUGGGGAAAGAAAGAAAAUCAAUGUCCUGGCAUCUCCUAGGAAGCCUGGCUCAAAACCAAAAGGAAAGUAAAAGCAGCCCAAACACUGACUCUAUGGUUAUGAGCUCAUCUGCACAGGGAGACCUUUUAGGAGAUUAAAAUACAGUUGAGAAUGCAACUCAAUUUAAUUUUAGCCCAUUAAAGCUAAGUAGAAACAGGGAAAUCAUUUGGUAUUUCUACUCUGCACUAAAUAGUUGACCUGAGUGAUGCUCAGGUGAUGGACACAGAUGCGCAAUUGAGGCAACUAGGAAACUAGCUGGCAAAACAAACCAACCUAGAAGACAGAUGUAUACUCAAGUGUUCUAAACCAAUGGAAUAGCUCAAUACAGACAAUUGAUCCAAAUGCCAAGGUACUGGACAUGGAUCAAGAGUCAGCAUUCAUCUGGCAAAGCAAUAAAGCGGGAUCAUUUACCA
Molecule: long non-coding RNA, 1246 nt
Filed under: Monodelphis domestica (gray short-tailed opossum)
Lineage: Eukaryota; Metazoa; Chordata; Mammalia; Didelphimorphia; Didelphidae
Description: lncRNA (ENSMODG00000048032.1)
Source: RNAcentral